RNAcentral lists this ribosomal RNA (496 nucleotides) under uncultured bacterium. RNAcentral describes it as "partial 16S ribosomal RNA". It matches the Rfam family "Bacterial small subunit ribosomal RNA", at positions 29 to 507 of the family's 1533-position model. The record is from RNAcentral.
AUGAACGCUGGCGGCGUGCCUAAUACAUGCACGUCGAGCGAACAGACGAGGAGCUUGCUCCUCUGACGUUAGCGGCGGACGGGUGAGUAACACGUGGAUAACCUACCUAUAAGACUGGGAUAACUUCGGGAAACCGGAGCUAAUACCGGAUAAUAUAUUGAACCGCAUGGUUCAAUAGUGAAAGACGGUUUUGCUGUCACUUAUAGAUGGAUCCGCGCCGCAUUAGCUAGUUGGUAAGGUAACGGCUUACCAAGGCAACGAUGCGUAGCCGCCCUGAGAGGGUGAUCGGCCACACUGGAACUGAGACACGGUCCAGACUCCUACGGGAGGCAGCAGUAGGGAAUCUUCCGCAAUGGGCGAAAGCUUGACGGAGCAACGCCGCGUGAGUGAUGAAGGUCUUCGGAUCGUAAAACUCUGUUAUUAGGGAAGAACAAAUGUGUAAGUAACUAUGCACGUCUUGACGGUACCUAAUCAGAAAGCCACGGCUAACUACGUG